UCGGGUGAGUAAUGCUUAUCUUACUUGCCAAUUAGUGGGGGAUAACCCUGGGAAACCAGGGCUAAUACCGCAUUUGUUGCUUCGGCAAUGAAAGGGAAUCGCAAGAUUCUCGCUAAUUGAGAGGGAUAAGUCGUAUUAGUUAGUUGGUAGGGUAAUGGCCUACCAAGACUAUGAUGCGUAGCCAGGCUGAGAGGCUGAGUGGCCACAAGGGAACUGAGACACGGUCCCUACUCCUACGGGAGGCAGCAGUGAGGAAUUUUCCACAAUGGGGGAAACCCUGAUGGAGCAAUACUACGUGAAGGAGGAAGGUCUAAGGAUUGUAAACUUCUGUUAGCACGGAAGAAGGGUUAAGCGUAAGUUUAGCCUUGACGGUACGUGCAGAGAAAGCCACGACUAACUAUGUGCCAGCAGUCGCGGUAAGACAUAGGUGGCGAACGUUAUCCGGAAUUAUUGGGCGUAAAGGGUGCGUAGAUGGUAUGAUAAGUUAUCAGUGGUAAAUCGGGGCUCAACCUCGUGGAAGCUGGUAAUACUGUUAUACUUGAGUACAGGAGAGGUUAAUGGAAUUCCCUGUGGAGCGGUAAAAUGCGUUAGAUAUAGGGAAGAACACCAAUAACGGCGAAGGCAAUUAACUAUUCUGCUACUGACAUUGAGGCACGAAAGCGUGGGGAGCAAAAAGGAUUAGAUACCCUUGUAGUCCACGCCCUAAACGAUGAGUGCUAGAUAUUGGACAGUUUAUGUUCAGUGUCGCUAGUUAACACAGUAAGCACUCCGCCUGGGUAGUACGGUCGCAAGGCUGAAACUCAAAGGAAUUGACGGGGACUCGCACAAGCAGUGGAGCAUGUGGUUUAAUCCGAUACGACGCGUAGAACCUUACCAAGGCUUGACAUGUUGGGCAAAACUAGGGAAACCUAGUGGAGGUUAUCCUAACACAGGUGCUGCAUGGCCGUCGUCAGUUCGUGCCGUGAGGUGUAUGGUUAAGUCCUAUAACGAACGUAACCCUUAGGUUUAGUUGCCAGCAUUCAGUUGGGGACUCUAGACCGACUGCCCGAGUAAUCGGGAGGAAGGAAAGGAUGACGUCUGGUCGUC
This 1086-nucleotide ribosomal RNA is filed under the name Candidatus Moeniiplasma glomeromycotorum. Its description in RNAcentral is "bacterial SSU rRNA". It matches the Rfam family "Bacterial small subunit ribosomal RNA", at positions 100 to 1194 of the family's 1533-position model. The record is from RNAcentral. Lineage: Bacteria; Bacillati; Mycoplasmatota; Mollicutes; Mycoplasmatales; Mycoplasmataceae.